AAAUGAAUUGACGGGGGCCCGCACAAGCGGUGGAGCAUGUGGUUCAAUUCGAUGCUACGCGAAAAACCUUACCUGGGCUUGACAUCCCGGGCUACCCUGUGAAAGCAGGGGUUCCCUUCGGGGACUCGGAGACAGGUGCUGCAUGGCUGUCGUCAGCUCGUGUUGUGAGAUGUUGGGUUAAGUCCCGCAACGAGCGCAACCCUCGCCCUUAGUUACCAUCAUUAAGUUGGGCACUCUAGGGGGACCGCUUGGCUAUAAGCCAGAGGAAGGUGGGGAUGACGUCAAGUCCGCAUGGCCCUUAUGUCCAGGGCAACACACGUGCUACAAUGGAGGGCACAAAGCGCUGCUAACUCGCAAGAGUAUGCUAAUCGCAAAAAUCCCUCCUCAGUUCGGAUUGGAGUCUGCAACUCGACUCCAUGAAGUUGGAAUCGCUAGUAAUCGCGGAUCAGAACGCCGCGGUGAAUACGUUCCCGGGCCUUGUACACACCGCCCGU
This 494-nucleotide ribosomal RNA is filed under the name uncultured bacterium. Its description in RNAcentral is "bacterial SSU rRNA". It matches the Rfam family "Bacterial small subunit ribosomal RNA", at positions 903 to 1397 of the family's 1533-position model. The record is from RNAcentral.